Molecule: ribosomal RNA, 348 nt
Filed under: uncultured bacterium
Lineage: Bacteria
Description: bacterial SSU rRNA
Rfam family: Bacterial small subunit ribosomal RNA
Source: RNAcentral
AGAGUUUGAUCAUGGCUCAGGAUGAACGCUAGCUACAGGCUUAACACAUGCAAGUCGAGGGGCAGCAUGUUGGUUGCUUGCAACCAAUGAUGGCGACCGGCGCACGGGUGAGUAACGCGUAUCCAACCUACCCUUGUCCAUCGGAUAACCCGUCGAAAGGCGGCCUAACACGAUAUGCGGUUCUCAGCAGGCAUCUAACGAGAACGAAAUGUGAAGGAGAAGGAUGGGGAUGCGUCUGAUUAGCUUGUUGGCGGGGUAACGGCCUACCAAGGCGACGAUCAGUAGGGGUUCUGAGAGGAAGGUCCCCCANAUUGGAACUGAGACACGGUCCAAACUCCUACGGGAGCA